This 732-nucleotide ribosomal RNA is filed under the name uncultured Bacteroidota bacterium. Its description in RNAcentral is "bacterial SSU rRNA". It matches the Rfam family "Bacterial small subunit ribosomal RNA", at positions 60 to 795 of the family's 1533-position model. Lineage: Bacteria; Pseudomonadati; Bacteroidota. The record is from RNAcentral.
AGUCGAGGGGUAUUGUAGCAAUACAAGAGACCGGCGCACGGGUGCGUAACGCGUAUGCAACCUACCUUGAACAGGGGGAUAGCCCAGAGAAAUUUGGAUUAAUACCCCAUGGUAUAUUAGAAUGGCAUCAUUUUAUUAUUAAAGUCACAACGGUUCAAGAUGGGCAUGCGUCCCAUUAGCUAGAUGGUAAGGUAACGGCUUACCAUGGCUACGAUGGGUAGGGGUCCUGAGAGGGAGAUCCCCCACACUGGUACUGAGACACGGACCAGACUCCUACGGGAGGCAGCAGUGAGGAAUAUUGGUCAAUGGGCGCAAGCCUGAACCAGCCAUGCCGCGUGCAGGAUGAAGCAUCUAUGGUGUGUAAACUGCUUUUGUACGGGAAGAAACACCGGUUCGUGAACCGGCUUGACGGUACCGUAAGAAUAAGGAUCGGCUAACUCCGUGCCAGCAGCCGCGGUAAUACGGAGGAUCCAAGCGUUAUCCGGAAUCAUUGGGUUUAAAGGGUCCGUAGGCGGCCAGGUAAGUCAGUGGUGAAAGCCCAUCGCUCAACGGUGGAACGGCCAUUGAUACUGCCAGGCUUGAAUUUCUGGGAAGUAACUAGAAUAUGUAGUGUAGCGGUGAAAUGCUUAGAUAUUACAUGGAAUACCAAUUGCGAAGGCAGGUUACUACCAGUGGAUUGACGCUGAUGGACGAAAGCGUGGGUAGCGAACAGGAUUAGAUACCCUGGUAGUC